Pieris brassicae (large cabbage white) is the source of this 1016-nucleotide long non-coding RNA. RefSeq lists it as uncharacterized. Lineage: Eukaryota; Metazoa; Arthropoda; Insecta; Lepidoptera; Pieridae. The transcript is spliced from 4 exons. The record is from RefSeq and is a predicted model, not a curated record.
UAUAGAGCCUACACAGAGUACCAUACUACACAGACCAAAGACAAUAUUUUAAUAUUUAAUCUUUGGUCUAUGUAGUACGUACAUAGGCCAAAGGCAAUCAAACCACAGCGCUAAAGACUAAAUUGUGGUAUAUAAUAAUUAGAAUAUGGACCUGAAAUAAUUUUAGAUCGUUAACGCGUUAAUUUUUAUUUUAGUUAUGUGUGUUUCGUAGUGUUUGUCUGGUUUUUUAGAGGGAACUUCUUAGCAGUUUCAUUAUUUAUUACAGCGCUGCGUGUGUAUUAUAUAACUUUUUUCAUAACACCCCGAAAACAUAAUAUGGCAGAGAGAAAGAGUUAAAACUUUGUUAAAGCGUAAGGUGAUUUUAUUUUUAAGAAGAAGGAGAAAUAUCAGCAGUUUAUCAAAAACACAGUGGUGCUACAAUCUUUAAUCGGUUAGGUCGAGCGGUACGCUCCUCUCCAAAAGACGCUUACGUCAUAAUGGUUCGGCCUUACCUGUAAUGGCAGCUGGUUCCAUAAAGGUUUUCAUAUAAUCCUAGAAAUAUGGUGUGCUUUGACCACAACAAAUAUGACGGAGACGUUGAACGGUUUAUCAAUAAAAAUGGGAAGUUUUUGGAUGAUCUAUUGGAUACAUAAGUUUUAAUAUAUACUCUUCAUGAAGUAGUGUAUGUUAAGUGGCUAUUUAAUCUCAUGCUAUGACCGAAUUAAUGCGGGUGGAAACACAAGAACUUAUAUAAGGAACUUAACUACUAACAUUAUUAAUAAUAUAUACCUAAAUGUAAACAUUAAGAAUAUAUAUAUAUAGUCGAAUAUACUAUAUAUAUAUAGUUAUAUAUAUAUAUUUUUUAAUAAUAAAAUAGAGUAUUACAGAUCAAAUAAAAAUAAUACAGAUUUCAACAAUGCUUUUGUAAAUCAAAUAAAAAAUCCAUUCGACGAAAAGAAGGUAUUCCUAAUUAUUAUAAAAUCACACUUAUCCAAGAACAUAUUAUAAAUGGUGCAUGUAAAAUGUAUAUUAUUUAU